UACGAACGCUGGCGGCAUGCCUAACACAUGCAAGUCGAACGGGAUCCAUCCUUCGGGGUGGUGAGAGUGGCGGACGGGUGAGUAACGCGUGGGAACCUGCCCAGUGGUGGGGGAUAACUGCGGGAAACUGCAGCUAAUACCGCAUGAGCCCGAGAGGGGAAAGAUUUAUCGCCAUUGGAGGGGCCCGCGUUCGAUUAGGUAGUUGGUGGGGUAAUGGCCUACCAAGCCGACGAUCGAUAGCUGGUCUGAGAGGAUGAUCAGCCACACUGGGACUGAGAUACGGCCCAGACUCCUACGGGAGGCAGCAGUGGGGAAUAUUGGACAAUGGGGGCAACCCUGAUCCAGCAAUGCCGCGUGAGUGAUGAAGGCCUUAGGGUUGUAAAGCUCUUUCGCCAGGGACGAUGAUGACGGUACCUGGAGAAUAAGCCCCGGCUAACUUCGUGCCAGCAGCCGCGGUAAUACGAAGGGGACAAGCGUUGUUCGGAAUUACUGGGCGUAAAGGGCGC
This 506-nucleotide ribosomal RNA is filed under the name uncultured bacterium. Its description in RNAcentral is "bacterial SSU rRNA". It matches the Rfam family "Bacterial small subunit ribosomal RNA", at positions 28 to 570 of the family's 1533-position model. The record is from RNAcentral.